Molecule: unclassified non-coding RNA, 321 nt
Filed under: plant metagenome
Description: partial contains 5.8S ribosomal RNA, internal transcribed spacer 2, and large subunit ribosomal RNA
Rfam family: 5.8S ribosomal RNA (bases 1-105)
Source: RNAcentral
GAAAUGCGAUAAGUAAUGUGAAUUGCAGAAUUCAGUGAAUCAUCGAAUCUUUGAACGCACAUUGCGCCCGCCAGUAUUCUGGCGGGCAUGCCUGUUCGAGCGUCAUUACAACCCUCAGGCCUCCGGGCCUGGCGUUGGGGAUCGGCGGAGCCCCCCCCCGUGGGCACACGCCGUCCCCCAAAUACAGUGGCGGUCCUGCCGCAGCUUCCAUUGCGUAGUAGCUAACACCUCGCAACUGGAGAGCGGCGCGGCCACGCCGUAAAACACCCAACUUCUGAAUGUUGACCUCGAAUCAGGUAGGAAUACCCGCUGAACUUAAGC